CAAAUAUUCCCUUCAUCCGGAUAUACUUGUGUAAGAAUGAAUGUAUCUAGAUGCAUUUUAGUUCUAUAUACAUUCAUUUUUAUACAUUUGUGCGACAAGUAAUUCCGGACGGAUGGAGUACUUC
RNAcentral lists this microRNA precursor (124 nucleotides) under Hordeum vulgare. Its description in RNAcentral is "microRNA MIR1122". It matches the Rfam family "MIR1120/MIR1122 microRNA precursor family". Lineage: Eukaryota; Viridiplantae; Streptophyta; Magnoliopsida; Poales; Poaceae. The record is from RNAcentral.